This 253-nucleotide ribosomal RNA is filed under the name uncultured bacterium. RNAcentral's name for it is "partial 16S ribosomal RNA". It matches the Rfam family "Bacterial small subunit ribosomal RNA", at positions 524 to 776 of the family's 1533-position model. The record is from RNAcentral.
UACGGAGGGUGCAAACGUUGCUCGGAAUUAUUGGGCGUAAAGCGCACGUAGGCGGCCCGGAAAGUCGGGUGUGAAAUCCCUCGGCUUAACCGAGGAAGUGCAUUCGAAACUUCCGGGCUUGAGUACUGAAGAGGGUCGCGGAAUUCCCGGUGUAGAGGUGAAAUUCGUAGAUAUCGGGAGGAACACCAGUGGCGAAGGCGGCGACCUGGGCAGAUACUGACGCUGAGGUGCGAAAGCGUGGGGAGCAAACAGG